Molecule: ribosomal RNA, 467 nt
Filed under: uncultured bacterium
Lineage: Bacteria
Description: partial 16S ribosomal RNA
Rfam family: Bacterial small subunit ribosomal RNA
Source: RNAcentral
GACGAACGCUGGCGGCGUGCUUAACACAUGCAAGUCGAACGGAAAGGCCCUGCUUUUGUGGGGUGCUCGAGUGGCGAACGGGUGAGUAACACGUGAGUAACCUGCCCUUUACUUUGGGAUAACUUCAGGAAACUGGUGCUAAUACCGGAUAGUAGCUCCUGCUGCAUGGUGGGGGUUGGAAAGUUUCGGCGGUUGGGGAUGGACUCGCGGCUUAUUAGCUUGUUGUUGGGGUAGUGGCUUACCAAGGCUUUGACGGGUAGCCGGCCUGAGAGGGUGACCGGACACAUUGGGACAGAGAUACGGCCCAGACUCCUACGGGAGGCAGCAGUGGGGAAGAUGGAACAAUGGGCGGAAGCCUGAUGCAGGAAAGGCGAGUGCGGGAUGACGGCCUUCGGGUUGUAAACCGCUUUCGCCUGAGACGAAGCGUGAGUGACGGUAAGGGGUAAAGAAGCACCGGCUAACUACGU